UACAGGGGGGGCAAGCGUUGUUCGGAAUUACUGGGCGUAAAGGGCUCGUAGGUGGCCGACUAAGUCAGACGUGAAAUCCCUCAGCUUAACUGGGGAACUGCGUCUGAUACUGGAUGGCUUGAGUUUGGGAGAGGGAAGCGGAAUUUCCGGUGUAGCGGUGAAAUGCGUAGAUAUCGGAAGGAACACCAGUGGCGAAAGCGGCUUCCUGGUCCAGCACCGACGUUCAGGCACGAAAGCGUGGGGAGCAAACAGG
Molecule: ribosomal RNA, 253 nt
Filed under: uncultured bacterium
Lineage: Bacteria
Description: partial 16S ribosomal RNA
Rfam family: Bacterial small subunit ribosomal RNA
Source: RNAcentral